UAUUGGGCAUAAAUCUAUAGAAUGAGAAAAU
RNAcentral lists this non-coding RNA (31 nucleotides) under Rattus norvegicus (Norway rat). The record is from RNAcentral. Lineage: Eukaryota; Metazoa; Chordata; Mammalia; Rodentia; Muridae.